AUCUCUGUAGAGUCUGCAUAUCAAUAAGCGGAGGAAAAGAAACUAACAAGGAUUCCCUUAGUAACGGCGAGUGAAGCGGGAAGAGCUCAAAUUUGAAAUCUUCAAGGUUUUACCUUGACGAAUUGUAGUUUAAAGAAGUGUUUUCUGUUGAAGUUUCGGUAAAAGUUCUUUGGAAUAGGACAUCAUAGAGGGUGAGAAUCCCGUAUUUGACCGUUAUUUUCAGCUGUGUGAUACACUUUCAAAGAGUCGGAUUGUUUGGGAAUGCAGUCCAAAAUGGGUGGUGAAUUUCAUCUAAAGCUAAAUAUUGGCGAGAGACCGAUAGCGAACAAGUACCGUGAGGGAAAGAUGAAAAGAACUUUGAAAAGAGAGUUAAACAGUACGUGAAAUUGUCAAAAGGGAAGCGUUUGACACCAGUGUUGUUUUCUCGAAAAUCAAUUAAAAAAGGCAGGAUUUUGUGUUGUAUUGACCUUAUCAGCUUUCUGCACUCUUUUCCUGUCUUUUUUUAAUGCACUUUUCGUUUAACAAGUCAACAUCAGUUUCUUUUGUUGUAAAAGAGUCAUUGGAAGGUGGCUUUCCUUUCGGAUGAAAGUGUUUAUAGCCUUUGGCUUCUGCAAUCGGAGAGAUUGAGGUCUGCAGCGUAGAUCCUUCGGGGCUAGAUACAUUAGAUGCUAAGUUAUAGCUUUUUAUAGACAACUUGUUGACUAUGAAUUAAGUCAUGUAGCUUACUCGUUAUGCCUAUUUUACCUACGCUUAGGAUGUUGAUCUGUAGUGCGUGCGC
Molecule: ribosomal RNA, 778 nt
Filed under: uncultured Neocallimastigales
Lineage: Eukaryota; Fungi; Neocallimastigomycota; Neocallimastigomycetes; Neocallimastigales
Description: partial large subunit ribosomal RNA
Rfam family: Eukaryotic large subunit ribosomal RNA
Source: RNAcentral